RNAcentral lists this transfer RNA (72 nucleotides) under Caudoviricetes sp. RNAcentral describes it as "tRNA-Arg". It matches the Rfam family "tRNA". Rfam says of the family: Transfer RNA (tRNA) molecules are approximately 80 nucleotides in length. Their secondary structure includes four short double-helical elements and three loops (D, anti-codon, and T loops). Further hydrogen bonds mediate the characteristic L-shaped molecular structure. tRNAs have two regions of fundamental functional importance: the anti-codon, which is responsible for specific mRNA codon recognition, and the 3' end, to which the tRNAs corresponding amino acid is attached (by aminoacyl-tRNA synthetases). tRNAs cope with the degeneracy of the genetic code in two manners: having more than one tRNA (with a specific anti-codon) for a particular amino acid; and 'wobble' base-pairing, i.e. permitting non-standard base-pairing at the 3rd anti-codon position. Lineage: Duplodnaviria; Heunggongvirae; Uroviricota; Caudoviricetes. The record is from RNAcentral.
AUCCCAUUAGUUUAUCGGAUAAAACACUAUGCUACGAACAUAGAGAGACAGGUUCGAUUCCUGUAUGGGAUA